RNAcentral lists this ribosomal RNA (1356 nucleotides) under Squilloides leptosquilla. RNAcentral's name for it is "16S ribosomal RNA". The stretch from base 640 to 1356 matches the Rfam family "Archaeal large subunit ribosomal RNA", at positions 1423 to 2811 of the family's 2987-position model. The record is from RNAcentral. Lineage: Eukaryota; Metazoa; Arthropoda; Malacostraca; Stomatopoda; Squillidae.
AAACUUCAGCUUAUCUAUUUAUUUUUGUUUAAUUAUUAGAUUUAGUGAAAAUAAUCUUGAUUGUUUUUUGAAAAGUAUUUAAUAAAGAAAUUUUAAAAAGGUGAUAAAUAAAAAGUACUGUAAAGGAAAGGUGAAAUAUUUGAAAAUUUAAUUGAAAGAAAGUAUAAUUUAAAGUUAGUACCUUGUGUUUCAGGGGAUUUAAAUAUUUAUUUUUUUAUGUAAGAAUUCCCGAAGUUUAGUGAGCUAGUUUAUAAUGAUAGUUAACGUAGUAUAGUUAUUAUUAAUUAUUUACUAGAAAUGAAAUUUUAUACGCACUAAUAAGUAUCUGGUUUUUUGAUAAAUAAAUUUAAUUUAGUUUUUAAAUUAAUAUUUUAUUAAAAAAUAAAAAUAGGAGGGAAAAGCUUCUUGUUUUAUAAUAAAUUUAUUAUAAAAGAUUAAUUUUUUUUGUUUAACUAGGCUUAAAAUCAGUCAAGUUUUAAAAUCGUUAUAGAUUAUGUAGUUAAGUUUUAAUAUUUAAUUAUCUUUUUAAUAUUUUUAUCAAAAAUUAUAAUGUAAUUAAACUAUUAUAGUUAUAAUUAAAUUAUUAGUAUAAAUAAUUGUUAUUAUUAAAUAUACAACAAGGUUAGAUUGUUAAUAUUUAUUUAAUGUAAUAUUUUGUAUUAAGGAACUCGGCAAUUAUUCUUUCUGCCUGUUUAUCAAAAACAUGUCCAUAUGUUAAGGUUUAUAUGGUCUGGCCUGCCCACUGAUAUUUUAAUUAAAGGGCCGCGGUAUUUUGACCGUGCGAAGGUAGCAUAAUAAUUAGUCUCCUAAUUAGAGGCUUGUAUGAAUGGUCGGACAAGAUGGAAACUGUCUCAAUACAAUAAAUAAAAUUUAAUAUUUAAGUAAAAAAGCUUAAAUAAUAUGGAGGGACGAUAAGACCCUAUAAAGCUUUAUAUUAUAUUUCUUUAAUAUAAAUUGUAAUGUUAUUAACUUAUUUUAGAAAAUAUAUUAUUUUACUGGGGCGGUAAAAGUAUAUUAAAGAUUAACUGCUUUUGUUUUGUAUAACAAUUAUAGUUGAAAAUAAAAUGAUCCAUUAUUAAUGAUCAUAAAACCAAGUUACUUUAGGGGUAACAGCGUAAUUUUUUUUGAGAGUUCUUAUCGAAAAAAAAGUUUGCGACCUCGAUGUUGAAUUAAGGUUACCUUAAGGUGCAGUAGUUUUAAUAGGCAGAUCUGUUCGAUCUUUAAAUCCUUACAUGAUUUGAGUUCAGACCGGCGUAAGCCAGGUUGGUUUCUAUCUUCCAUGAAAAUUUCACUUACUUUAGUACGAAAGGAUUUGGUAAGUCAAAUAUUUUGUUAUUAGUUGAUUUUUAUUAACUG